UCAGGACGAACGCUGGCGGCGUGCUUAACACAUGCAAGUCGAACGAUGAUGCCCAGCUUGCUGGGCGGAUUAGUGGCGAACGGGUGAGUAAUACGUGAGUAACCUGCCCUUGACUCUGGGAUAAGCCUGGGAAACUGGGUCUAAUACUGGAUACUACCUCUUACCGCAUGGUGGGUGGUGGAAAGGGUUUUACUGGUUUUGGAUGGGCUCACGGCCUAUCAGCUUGUUGGUGGGGUAAUGGCUCACCAAGGCGACGACGGGUAGCCGGCCUGAGAGGGUGACCGGCCACACUGGGACUGAGACACGGCCCAGACUCCUACGGGAGGCAGCAGUGGGGAAUAUUGCACAAUGGGCGGAAGCCUGAUGCAGCGACGCCGCGUGAGGGAUGACGGCCUUCGGGUUGUAAACCUCUUUCAGUAGGGAAGAAGCGAGAGUGACGGUACCUGCAGAAGAAGCGCCGGCUAACUACGUGCCAGCAGCCGCGGUAAUACGUAGGGCGCAAGCGUUGUCCGGAAUUAUUGGGCGUAAAGAGCUCGUAGGCGGUUUGUCGCGUCUGCUGUGAAAGCCCGGGGCUCAACCCCGGGUCUGCAGUGGGUACGGGCAGACUAGAGUGCAGUAGGGGAGACUGGAAUUCCUGGUGUAGCGGUGAAAUGCGCAGAUAUCAGGAGGAACACCGAUGGCGAAGGCAGGUCUCUGGGCUGUUACUGACGCUGAGGAGCGAAAGCAUGGGGAGCGAACAGGAUUAGAUACCCUGGUAGUCCAUGCCGUAAACGUUGGGCACUAGGUGUGGGGGACAUUCCACGUUUUCCGCGCCGUAGCUAACGCAUUAAGUGCCCCGCCUGGGGAGUACGGCCGCAAGGCUAAAACUCAAAGGAAUUGACGGGGGCCCGCACAAGCGGCGGAGCAUGCGGAUUAAUUCGAUGCAACGCGAAGAACCUUACCAAGGCUUGACAUUCACCGGACCGCCCCAGAGAUGGGGUUUCCCUUCGGGGCUGGUGGACAGGUGGUGCAUGGUUGUCGUCAGCUCGUGUCGUGAGAUGUUGGGUUAAGUCCCGCAACGAGCGCAACCCUCGUUCUAUGUUGCCAGCACGUGAUGGUGGGGACUCAUAGGAGACUGCCGGGGUCAACUCGGAGGAAGGUGGGGAUGACGUCAAAUCAUCAUGCCCCUUAUGUCUUGGGCUUCACGCAUGCUACAAUGGCCGGUACAAAGGGUUGCGAUACUGUGAGGUGGAGCUAAUCCCAAAAAGCCGGUCUCAGUUCGGAUUGAGGUCUGCAACUCGACCUCAUGAAGUCGGAGUCGCUAGUAAUCGCAGAUCAGCAACGCUGCGGUGAAUACGUUCCCGGGCCUUGUACACACCGCCCGUCAAGUCACGAAAGUUGGUAACACCCGAAGCCGGUGGCCUAACCCCUUGUGGGAGGGAGCCGUCGAAGGUGGGACUGGCGAUUGGGACUAAUC
RNAcentral lists this ribosomal RNA (1456 nucleotides) under Kocuria rosea. RNAcentral describes it as "bacterial SSU rRNA". It matches the Rfam family "Bacterial small subunit ribosomal RNA". The record is from RNAcentral. Lineage: Bacteria; Bacillati; Actinomycetota; Actinomycetes; Micrococcales; Micrococcaceae.